AGAAAUUAAAGUAAUAAUGUACGUAGGUCCUUAAAAUAAAAAGCAAAAUCGCUUGGUGGCCCAGUAUAAUAUAUAUAUAUUAUAAUACAAUAUAAUACAAUAUAAAUUCAAUCCUUACCUGAGGCAUGGAUGCACAACGAGUUACCUGCCACGCUGGAGCACCUUGAGGUCAAUUGUUGCUCGAAUCUUGCUUUCUUGUCACGGAAUGGAAAUCUACCUCAGGCUCUUAAGUACCUUCGUGUUGAAGACUGUUCAAAGCUGGAGUCGUUAGCAGAAAGGUUGGACAACACAUCCCUUGAAGAAAUUGAUAUUUCAGGGCUUGAAAAUCUUAAAUCAUUACCUGCCGGUUUGCAUAAUCUCCACGAUCUUCAAAAGAUUUGGAUAUCUGAAUGUCCAAAUCUUGAGUCAUUUCCCGAAGAAGGAUUGCCUUCUACGAAACUGACUCUGCUCACGAUAUGUGAUUGUGAGAAUCUGAAGGCUUUACCCAACUACAUGCACAAUCUCACUUCAUUGAAAACUCUGCGUCUCGGUAAUUGUCCGAAGCUCACAUACUUUCCAGAGCAGGGCCUGCCUAAAUCACUUUUGGAACUAAUUGUCUCUAAUUGCCCGUUGAUAGAAGAAAGGUGCAGAAAGGAUGAAGGAAAAUAUUGGCCCAUGAUUUCCCAUAUACCUUGUGUCCAAAUUAAUUUCAGAUCAGUUUUUAAAGGAAGAUCCAUCAAUUAGAUUGUGUAAUCAUAAUUUCUUUUUUUUUUCCACCUGUAAUUUAAUUGUAAUAUGAACUGACUUUAUCAAUAAAAGAAUAAAAUUAUGUUUAGGAUUGUCAGUGAAGUUGAUAAAGUAAGAAGAGCAGAGGAAAGAAGUAAUAAGAGAAGAAGAAACUCCAGUUCAAGGAGGGAUGUUAGUGAAACUGAUUAAAUGAGAAGGAACAGAGAAAUCGUGUACAUGCUGUUAUUGUGCUCUUGACAGCAGCUA
RNAcentral lists this long non-coding RNA (972 nucleotides) under Citrus maxima (pomelo). RNAcentral's name for it is "long non-coding RNA (CMAX_LNC000742)". Lineage: Eukaryota; Viridiplantae; Streptophyta; Magnoliopsida; Sapindales; Rutaceae. The record is from RNAcentral.